Molecule: ribosomal RNA, 402 nt
Filed under: uncultured soil bacterium
Lineage: Bacteria
Description: bacterial SSU rRNA
Rfam family: Bacterial small subunit ribosomal RNA
Source: RNAcentral
AGAACGAACGCUGGCGGCAUGCCUAAUACAUGCAAGUCGAACGAACACUUCGGUGUUAGUGGCGCACGGGUGCGUAACGCGUGGGAAUCUGCCCUUGGGUUCGGAAUAACAGUUGGAAACGACUGCUAAUACCGGAUGAUGACGAAAGUCCAAAGAUUUAUCGCCCAGGGAUGAGCCCGCGUAGGAUUAGCUAGUUGGUGAGGUAAAGCUCACCAAGGCGACGAUCCUUAGCUGGUCUGAGAGGAUGAUCAGCCACACUGGGACUGAGACACGGCCAGACUCCGUACGGGAGCAGCAGUAGGGAAUAUGGACAAUGGGCGCAAGCCUGAUCCAGCAAUGCGCGUGAGUGAUGAAGGCUUAGGGUUAGAAACGCUUCCUUACCGAGUAUGAAUAACGACAGUA